RNAcentral lists this ribosomal RNA (492 nucleotides) under uncultured bacterium. Its description in RNAcentral is "partial 16S ribosomal RNA". It matches the Rfam family "Bacterial small subunit ribosomal RNA", at positions 29 to 507 of the family's 1533-position model. The record is from RNAcentral.
AGUGAACGCUGGCGGUAGGCCUAACACAUGCAAGUCGAACGGCAGCACAGUAAGAGCUUGCUCUUACGGGUGGCGAGUGGCGGACGGGGGAGGAAUACAUCGGAAUCUACUUUUUCGUGGGGGAUAACGGAGGGAAACUUACGCUAAUACCGCAAACGACCUACGGGGGAAAGCAGGGGAUCUUCGGACCUUGCGCGGUUGAAUGAGCCGAUGUCGGAUUAGCUAGUUGGCGGGGUAAAGGCCCACCAAGGCGACGAUCCGUAGCUGGUCUGAGAGGAUGAUCAGCCACACUGGAACUGAGACACGGUCCAGACUCCUACGGGAGGCAGCAGUGGGGAAUAUUGGACAAUGGGCGCAAGCCUGAUCCAGCCAUACCGCGUGGGUGAAGAAGGCCUUCGGGUUGUAAAGCCCUUUUGUUGGGAAAGAAAAGCAGCAGGUUAAUACCCCGCUGUUCUGACGGUACCCAAAGAAUAAGCACCGGCUAACUUCGUG